RNAcentral lists this unclassified non-coding RNA (369 nucleotides) under Hevea brasiliensis (rubber tree). Lineage: Eukaryota; Viridiplantae; Streptophyta; Magnoliopsida; Malpighiales; Euphorbiaceae. The record is from RNAcentral.
AGAAGAUAAUAGGCUUCAUGUUGAGCUCAAGCUCAAGCGUAGUCAGGAUGAGCUCAAGUCAACUCAUCACAUUCACAGUUUCACACAAAAUGUAGAUUCAUGACCCAACCAAUUGCACUACAUGCAGCAGCCACAAUAGCAAUCCACAUUGGCAAAACAGCCACUAUUCAGGGUGCCCUCGCCAGGAUUAGUGCCUCAGCCUGGUGCUAUUUUGGGCUGAAUUUAGACUCUUGAAUAUAGCUCUAAGUCUCCACAUUUUAACUAUAUCCUACAUUUGAAAAUGAACUUUACAUACUCCACUUGUGCUUAUCAUGAUUCCUAAUAUGCUGCCAACAAAAAUCAAAGUAAACAUAAGACCCCCUAACAAAG